GACGAACGCUGGCGGCAUGCUUAACACAUGCAAGUCGAACGGGAAGUGGUGUUUCCAGUGGCGAACGGGUGAGUAACGCGUAAGAACCUGCCCUUGGGAGGGGAACAACAACUGGAAACGGUUGCUAAUACCCCGUAGGCUGAGGAGCAAAAGGAGAAAUCCGCCCAAGGAGGGGCUCGCGUCUGAUUAGCUAGUUGGUGAGGUAAUAGCUUACCAAGGCGAUGAUCAGUAGCUGGUCCGAGAGGAUGAUCAGCCACACUGGGACUGAGACACGGCCCAGACUCCGACGGGAGGCAGCAGUGGGGAAUUUUCCGCAAUGGGCGAAAGCCUGACGGAGCAAUGCCGCGUGGAGGUGGGAGGCCUACGGGUCGUCAACUUCUUUUCUCGGAGAAGAAACAAUGACGGUAUCUGAGGAAUAAGCAUCGGCUAACUCUGUG
Molecule: ribosomal RNA, 437 nt
Filed under: uncultured bacterium
Lineage: Bacteria
Description: partial 16S ribosomal RNA
Rfam family: Bacterial small subunit ribosomal RNA
Source: RNAcentral